RNAcentral lists this ribosomal RNA (596 nucleotides) under Mycobacterium tuberculosis. RNAcentral describes it as "bacterial SSU rRNA". It matches the Rfam family "Bacterial small subunit ribosomal RNA", at positions 280 to 874 of the family's 1533-position model. Lineage: Bacteria; Bacillati; Actinomycetota; Actinomycetes; Mycobacteriales; Mycobacteriaceae. The record is from RNAcentral.
CGGGUAGCCGGCCUGAGAGGGUGUCCGGCCACACUGGGACUGAGAUACGGCCCAGACUCCUACGGGAGGCAGCAGUGGGGAAUAUUGCACAAUGGGCGCAAGCCUGAUGCAGCGACGCCGCGUGGGGGAUGACGGCCUUCGGGUUGUAAACCUCUUUCACCAUCGACGAAGGUCCGGGUUCUCUCGGAUUGACGGUAGGUGGAGAAGAAGCACCGGCCAACUACGUGCCAGCAGCCGCGGUAAUACGUAGGGUGCGAGCGUUGUCCGGAAUUACUGGGCGUAAAGAGCUCGUAGGUGGUUUGUCGCGUUGUUCGUGAAAUCUCACGGCUUAACUGUGAGCGUGCGGGCGAUACGGGCAGACUAGAGUACUGCAGGGGAGACUGGAAUUCCUGGUGUAGCGGUGGAAUGCGCAGAUAUCAGGAGGAACACCGGUGGCGAAGGCGGGUCUCUGGGCAGUAACUGACGCUGAGGAGCGAAAGCGUGGGGAGCGAACAGGAUUAGAUACCCUGGUAGUCCACGCCGUAAACGGUGGGUACUAGGUGUGGGUUUCCUUCCUUGGGAUCCGUGCCGUAGCUAACGCAUUAAGUACCCCGCCU